GGAUGGGAGAAUGGAGCAAGAUUGGUCAACAGACUCUGACUGUGAUUUUUCUCACUAAUGACAAAAGGAAUAACCUCUAGUGAGAAUGAAAUGAUGAAGGGUCUUUGAAAUUCUCUACUCUCUGAACACAGUGAAUGUGAAUGAAAGAUCUCAGGAAGAGUUUUCAAAAAGCUUAUUGCUCAAUCACCAGCCUUUGCGAGGAGUUGUGGAUUGACUGCUGUCUGCAAUAAGGUCACCAGAAACUGCCAUAGCUCUCAAGGCAAGCACAUGCUGAUAAUGACAAGCUGCUGAGACUCAAAGCUAUGUUUUAGCCCCAACCCCAGCACAGACUCACCACGAAGCUCUUUGAUUUCCAGACGGAACUUUCAUGAGGACGCACCACACUUAACUAAACCCUUGACCUAACAGACCUAUAGUGAAGAUGAAACCCCAAAGGAAGCUCCUACUGUUUGCCAAUAACUCAACAGAGCUCUGGAGAAACAGAUGAAUUCAAUGUGGCCUUUUGACUAGGGACAAUCGCCCACCACACUUCUGAUAACAGACAAGCCCUUCUUCAGCACUACAGGGUUAGCCAACCACAGUAUUCCAUCCCCCUGGCCUCAGUCAGAACCUUUGCUCCAGAAAUUUUCCUCUGGAACUAUCAGGAAGGACUUCCAGUUACCCCGGGGACGCCAUUUUGGAAACCUAGUACUGUCAUGGCCAAAUUAUCUAUCUUGGAGGAACAGCACCUACAGGAGUGAAGCCACCACACAGAUGGAAACAAAGGAGGAAGAAAAGGAAAGGGAGAGGAAAAAGGAGGAGGAAGAAGAAAGAGAGAAGGGGGAAGGGAAAGGAAGAUAAGAAGGAUACCACUCGGCAUUGUUUGCCUGGAUCCAGUCCUGCCACAAGCCAAUACCACCACCACCCUUUUUUUAAAAUCAAUUUUAUGACCCUGAGGCAAUAAUUCUUGCCCUCCUCCCAUGCAUACUUUUCACUACACUGAUCUUAACUACCUGAAACUGAGAACAUUUAGAUAAAAACCAGAGAAUUUGAGGUCAAUUUAGUAGCACAGCAACCACAUACAUAAAUAAUUGCAAAAAAAAAGUGAUGAAGCAUAAAUACAACACACUGUCAUGGUACAAAAAAGAAAGAUCAACUCAGCUUAGACGGUUUAUAGUUCAUCAGCCAGAGGUUGGCUUAUUCUUUUUUUUAAGGGACGUAGCCUAUAACUACAUCACAGAAAAAACAACAUGUAGGUGUCCCCUUACUCAAGAAAGGCCUUGUGACACUGGAGGUAAGUUUGGAAGAAUAUGGAUCUGUCAACCUGAGGAACUGGGAAAGAUGCAAAUAUGGAUCUGUCAACCUGAGGAAUUGGGAAAGAUGCAAAUAGAUAAAAACAGAACUAUGGUCCAACAGAUGUGGUAUAUUUGGUAUGGUAGAUUAGAUACAUCCACAAAUUCUUUGCUGCCCAUCCUAGUAAGAGGCAUGGCCUAAUUCCUCUCCCCUUGAAAAUACACUGACAUUUAGUGACAUUUUAUUAAAUAUGUACCCUUUUGUACCCAUCUUUUUCAUGUGGUGAAAUGAAAAAAUACAGCACUUCUGCUGUCUCAGCACAUUUUCAAGAUAUUCUAAGAAAUGUCUUGAAAAAGUAAAUAUAUAAAGACAGAAAGUAAAUGAGUGGUUGUCUAGGGCUAGGGGUUGGGAAUGGGAGUGAUUGCAAAUGGAUAUGAGAUUUCUGUUUGGGGUGAUGGAAAUGUUCUAAAAUUAGGUUGUGGGAAUGGUUGCACAACUCUGAGAAUAUACUAAAAAAACACUGAAUUGUAUACUUUAAAUAGGUGAAUUUUAUGACAUGUGAAUUACAUCUCAAUAAAGCUGUUAAAAAUUAGAUGAAAUGGACAAAUUCCUUAAAAAACAAAAUUUAACAAAACUAAUACAGGAGGAAAUAGAAAACCUGAAUGAAAUUAAAUAUCAAUGAAAUUGAUUCCUUCAUUUAAAAAUCCUUCCCACAAAGUAAACUUCAAAUCAAAAUAGCUUCAAUGAUGAAUUCUGAACAUUUAAGCAAAAAAUAAUACCAAUCUUAUAGAAAACUCAGAGACUUGAAAAGAGGAGGGUAUCAUUUCCAACUAAUUUUAUAAGAUCAGCAUAACCUCGAAGCUUCCUUCUAUUCCGAGAUUACUAAGAGUUCAUAAAGAAGUAUUAAAUUUUAUGUAAAAAUUUUUCUGGGCCAGGCGCUGUGGCUCACGCCUGUAAUCCUAGCACUUUGGGAGGCCGAGGUGGCGGAUCAUGAGUUCAGGAGAUCGAGACCAUCCUGGCUAACACAGUGAAACCCCGUCUCUACUAAAAAUACAAAAAAAAGUUAGCCGGGCGUGGUGGCGGGUGCCUGUAGUCCCAGCUACUCAGGAGGCUGAGGGAGCAGAAUGGCGUGAACACAGGAGGCGGAGCUUGCAGUAAGCCGAGAUCGUGUCACUGCACUCCAGCCUGGGUGACAGAGUGAGACUUCUCUCAAAAAAGAAACAAACAAAAAAUCUGUAUCUAUUGAGAUGAUUAUAUAUACAUAUUUUCUCCUUUAUAUAAAAGGGAUAAUAUGACCAAGUAGGAUUUAUGCCAGGAAUGCAAUCUUGGGAUCAGCAUAAAAAAGACAAUUGUAAAAGAUUGUCAAAUUAUACUUCACUAAAAUUAAGAAUUUCUGUUCAUCAAAAGAUACCGUUCAGAGAAGGAAAAGACAAACCACUAACUGAGAGAAGAUAUUUGCCAUCAUCCAGUGGUAUACCAAGGGCAAGGUAAUGGGAAAGUCUGCCUUGUAUGCAGACAGUAAAAGGGUUCAUUGUCUGAAAAUGUAAAAGCAAUACUAAAACUCACUGAAAAUCACUCUGCACUUUAUUAUUAUCAUGCACUGGAAAUUCUAAACAUUGUCAUAAUAAAAUAUUCAUCUAGAAAAAAUAUCUUUUAUUAGUUUAAGUUCUAAAUGAAAGUAUGAUCCACAGAUCUGGAGUAAUCCAAGAUCUUUUCAGAGAGUCCAUGGAGUCAGAAUAUUUUCAUAACUAAAACAUUGUUUUCCUUUUUCAUUGUGUUGACUGUGUGCGCUGAUGGUUCAAGACAAUGGUGACUAAAUCUACUUAUUCCUUAGCAGGAAUCAAGGCAGUGGCACAGAUUAUACUAGUAUACAUUGUAUUCUUCACCACUACACACUAACAGUUAACAACAAUAAGAAAAACCUAGUUUUACUUAAGAAAUAUAUCUAAUGAGGCAGUAAACAUUUUAUUAUCAUUUAACUUUUUUAUGGAUGGGCAUGGUGGCUCACGCCUGUAAUCCCAGCACUUUGGGAGGCUGAGGCAGGCAGAUCACCUGAAGUUGGGAGUUCGAGACCAGCCUGACCAACCUCUUUAGUAGAGAAACCCCAUCUCUACUAAAAAUACAAAAUUAGCCUGGUGUGGUGGCACGUGCCUGUAAUCCCAGCUACUAGAGAGUCUGAGGCAGGACAAUUGCUUGAACCUGGGAGGCAGAGGUUGCAGUGAGCAGAGAUCACACCAUUGCACUCUAGCCUGGGCAAUAAGAGUGAAACUCCAUCUCAAAAAAAAAAAAAUAUUGUCAUUUAACUUUUUAAUUAAAAUUUCAAUUACAAUUUAAAAAUUUACUAAAACAUUUAACUUUAUUAAAUCCUAAAUGUUCUUACCACCAAAAAAUUAUGCCUAUGGGAGGUGAUGAAAACAUUAAUUAGGUUGACUGUGGUAAUCCUUUCACAAAGUACACACACACACACACACACACACACACACAUAUAUAUAUAACCUUUUAAUCAACUAUACCUCAAGCUAGGAAAAAUGAAUUAAUUAACUUUAAAAUAAAACAUUUUAUUAAAUAUGGACCUUAGCAUACCCAUCUUUUUUAUGUGAUGACAUGGAAAAUAAAGCAGUUCUGUUGUCUCAAGGAAAAGCACUUUGUGAUUAUUUGACUGUGAGCUAAUCUAGCCAUUUUUUUUCUUUUUAUGGAACACCAGUUUGACUUUUAAAAAAACAACUGAUAGGCUGUAGUUAUUCAGACUUAGUUAUUUAGCAGAAAUUUUCUUUAAAACGACCAAAGUAAGCCUGGCACUUCAAGGAAAAAAACUAAAAUAUCUGUUAUCUAAAAGUUGAGCUUUUAAGCCUAAAUUGCAUGUUGGAAACUUGUAUCUGCUACUGUGAGCUUGAAAGCUGCUGUGAGCUUGAAAACUCUUCUGAUGAGAUUGGUGAUGAUAUUAAUAAAUAUAGUGUUUUUGCUACUAUAAAAUGAAAUGUGUCUAUCAAUAGCAUUUUAGAGAAUCUCUCAAUUCUAUCCAAAAUGAUGUUAUUCUGAUAAUAAAGCCCAGAUCUGCAACUUUAA
Molecule: long non-coding RNA, 4338 nt
Filed under: Pan troglodytes (chimpanzee)
Lineage: Eukaryota; Metazoa; Chordata; Mammalia; Primates; Hominidae
Description: lincRNA
Source: RNAcentral